GACGAACGCUGGCGGCGUGCUUAACACAUGCAAGUCGAACGGUGAAGCAGAGCUUUCUCUGUGUAUCAGUGUCGAACGGGUGAGUAUCACGUGAGUAUCCUGCCCUUUACUCUGUGGUAAGCCUUGGAAACGACGUCUAAUACCGGAUACCAGCUGAGACCGCGUGGUGUUCGGUUUGAAAAAUUUCGUGGUCAAGGAUGGACUCGCGGCCUAUCAGCUUGUUGGUGAGGUAAUGGCUCACCAAGGCGACGACGGGUAGCCGGCCUGAGAGGGUGACCGGCCACACUGGGACUGAGACACGGCCCAGACUCCUACGGGAGGCAGCAGUGGGGAAUAUUGCACAAUGGGCGCAAGCCUGAUGCAGCAACGCCGCGUGAGGGAUGACGGCCUUCGGGUUGUAAACCUCUUUUAGUAGGGAAGAAGCGAGAGUGACGGUACCUGCAGAAAAAGCACCGGCUAACUACGUG
RNAcentral lists this ribosomal RNA (467 nucleotides) under uncultured bacterium. Its description in RNAcentral is "partial 16S ribosomal RNA". It matches the Rfam family "Bacterial small subunit ribosomal RNA", at positions 28 to 507 of the family's 1533-position model. The record is from RNAcentral.